AGUGAACGCUGGUGGUAGGCCUAACACAUGCAAGUCGAACGGCAGCACAGUAAGAGCUUGCUCUUACGGGUGGCGAGUGGCGGACGGGUGAGGAAUACAUCGGAAUCUACUUUUUCGUGGGGGAUAACGUAGGGAAACUUACGCUAAUACCGCAUACGACCUACGGGUGAAAGCAGGGGAUCUUCGGACCUUGCGCGAUUGAAUGAGCCGAUGUCGGAUUAGCUAGUUGGCGGGGUAAAGGCCCACCAAGGCGACGAUCCGUAGCUGGUCUGAGAGGAUGAUCAGCCACACUGGAACUGAGACACGGUCCAGACUCCUACGGGAGACAGCAGUGGGGAAUAUUGGACAAUGGGCGCAAGCCUGAUCCAGCCAUACCGCGUGGGUGAAGAAGGCCUUCGGGUUGUAAAGCCCUUUUGUUGGGAAAGAAAAGCAGCAGGUUAAUACCCCGCUGUUCUGACGGUACCCAAAGAAUAAGCACCGGCUACUUCGU
RNAcentral lists this ribosomal RNA (490 nucleotides) under uncultured bacterium. Its description in RNAcentral is "partial 16S ribosomal RNA". It matches the Rfam family "Bacterial small subunit ribosomal RNA", at positions 29 to 506 of the family's 1533-position model. The record is from RNAcentral.